GAAAGACGGCUCUUAGUUUACUUGUAAAAACUAUUAUCAUGCAACAUCUUUUCUCUUUGCUUUGAGAAUCCUCUCCCUGCCAUUCUCCUAAAGGGCUCAUUGUUUUGGGAGAACGGCAGGGUUUAAACGACGUGUUUUGGCAUAGAUUGUGAUUAAGACUUUAU
Non-coding RNA from Nicotiana tabacum (common tobacco), 164 nucleotides. NCBI's taxonomy places the organism in Eukaryota, Viridiplantae, Streptophyta, Magnoliopsida, Solanales, Solanaceae. The record is from RefSeq and is a predicted model, not a curated record.